AUUGAACGCUGGCGGAAUGCUUUACACAUGCAAGUCGAACGGCAGCACGGACUUCGGUCUGGUGGCGAGUGGCGAACGGGUGAGUAAUGUAUCGGAACGUGCCCAGUCGUGGGGGAUAACGUAGUGAAAAUUACGCUAAUACCGCAUACGAGCGAUGGAUGAAAGCGGGGGAUCGCAAGACCUCGCGCGAUUGGAGCGGCCGAUAUCAGAUUAGGUAGUUGGUGGGGUAAAGGUCCACCAAGCCAACGAUCUGUAGCUGGUCUGAGAGGACGACCGGCCACACUGGAAAUGAGACACGGUCCAGAAUACUACGGGAGGCAGCAGUGGGGAAUUUUGGACAAUGGGCGAAAGCCUGAUUCAGCCAUUCCGCGUGCAGGAUGAAGGCCCUCGGGUUGUAAACUGCUUUUGUACAGAACGAAAAGGUUUCUACUGAUACUAGGAGCUCAUGACGGUACUGUAAGAAUAAGCACCGGCUAACUACGUGCCAGCAGCCGCGGUAA
This 500-nucleotide ribosomal RNA is filed under the name uncultured bacterium. RNAcentral describes it as "partial 16S ribosomal RNA". It matches the Rfam family "Bacterial small subunit ribosomal RNA", at positions 30 to 523 of the family's 1533-position model. The record is from RNAcentral.